AUUGAACGCUGGCGGCAUGCCUAACACAUGCAAGUCGAACGGUAACAGGCCCUUCGGGGUGCUGACGAGUGGCGGAUGGGUGAGUAAUACUUAGGAAUCUACCCUGUAGUGGGGGACAACCCGGGGAAACUCGGGCUAAUACCGCAUACGCUCUACGGAGGAAAGCGGGGGACCGCAAGGCCUCGCGCUAUUGGAUGAGCCUAAGCCCGAUUAGCUAGUUGGUGGGGUAAUAGCCUACCAAGGCAAUGAUCGGUAGCUGGUCUGAGAGGACGACCAGCCACACUGGGACUGAGACACGGCCCAGACUCCUACGGGAGGCAGCAGUGGGGAAUAUUGGACAAUGGGGGAAGCCCUGAUCCAGCCAUUCCGCGUGA
This 374-nucleotide ribosomal RNA is filed under the name uncultured bacterium. Its description in RNAcentral is "bacterial SSU rRNA". It matches the Rfam family "Bacterial small subunit ribosomal RNA", at positions 30 to 404 of the family's 1533-position model. The record is from RNAcentral.